RNAcentral lists this ribosomal RNA (497 nucleotides) under uncultured bacterium. RNAcentral's name for it is "partial 16S ribosomal RNA". It matches the Rfam family "Bacterial small subunit ribosomal RNA", at positions 28 to 507 of the family's 1533-position model. The record is from RNAcentral.
GAUGAACGCUGGCGGCGUGCCUAAUACAUGCAAGUCGAGCGAACAGACGAGGAGCUUGCUUCUCUGACGUUAGCGGCGGACGGGUGAGUAACACGUGGAUAACCUACCUAUAAGACUGGGAUAACUUCGGGAAACCGGAGCUAAUACCGGAUAAUAUAUUGAACCGCAUGGUUCAAUAGUGAAAGACGGUUUUGCUGUCACUUAUAGAUGGAUCCGCGCCGCAUUAGCUAGUUGGUAAGGUAACGGCUUACCAAGGCAACGAUGCGUAGCCGACCUGAGAGGGUGAUCGGCCACACUGGAACUGAGACACGGUCCAGACUCCUACGGGAGGCAGCAGUAGGGAAUCUUCCGCAAUGGGCGAAGGCCUGACGGAGCAACGCCGCGUGAGUGAUGAAGGUCUUCGGAUCGUAAAACUCUGUUAUUAGGGAAGAACAAAUGUGUAAGUAACUAUGCACGUCUUGACGGUACCUAAUCAGAAAGCCACGGCUAACUACGUG